ACUGUUGAAUAUCCUUGUAAUUUAGCCAUGUUUGGUAACUUAGUUGGUAGCCUUUUUUUCAGAAGGCAACAGUGCAUUGUCACUGUCAUAGUCUCUCUCCUCCCUCUCUCUCUUUUGUACUCUCUAUAUAUAUGUACCUAUUUGAAUUCAAGCUAUAACUGAAAAAGCCUUUUACUUUGGUCCUUCAACUUGGCAUCAGAGCGGGUUGCUGCCGUCCGCCGCCGCGUCGUCCGCCGUCCGCCGCCGCGUCGUCCGCCGCCGCCGGCCGCCGCCAUCUCCGGC
This 282-nucleotide long non-coding RNA is filed under the name Glycine max (soybean). RNAcentral describes it as "long non-coding RNA (GMAX_LNC003673)". Lineage: Eukaryota; Viridiplantae; Streptophyta; Magnoliopsida; Fabales; Fabaceae. The record is from RNAcentral.